AAACUGUGCACAUUAAAAAUAUAUAUUAAGGGUGGCCCAAAAGUGGGUUUACAGUUAUUCAACUAUCUCUUUUCGCAUUCCUAUAUUAACAAUUUAGAUCUUUAUUAUAAAAAAGAUAUGAAACCAUUAUUCUAUGCCAAUUUAGUUAUUUGUAAGAUAGAAAUUUAUGUGCA
This is a long non-coding RNA of Octopus sinensis (East Asian common octopus), 173 nucleotides long. RefSeq lists it as uncharacterized. Lineage: Eukaryota; Metazoa; Mollusca; Cephalopoda; Octopoda; Octopodidae. The transcript is spliced from 3 exons. The record is from RefSeq and is a predicted model, not a curated record.